GAACGCGUUGCCGCAGGCAACGACCCGAAGGGCGAAGCGCGCAGCGCUGAGUCAUCCUUCCCCCACCACCA
Molecule: small RNA, 71 nt
Filed under: Salmonella enterica subsp. enterica serovar Heidelberg
Lineage: Bacteria; Pseudomonadati; Pseudomonadota; Gammaproteobacteria; Enterobacterales; Enterobacteriaceae
Also listed under: 4 other names
Description: partial RtT sRNA
Rfam family: RtT RNA
About the family: This family represents a bacterial cis-regulatory element known as RtT RNA. The exact function of RtT is unknown although it is thought that it may be involved in changing the cellular response in relation to amino acid starvation.
Source: RNAcentral